UGGGGAAUUUUGGACAAUGGGCGAAAGCCUGAUCCAGCAAUGCCGCGUGUGUGAAGAAGGCCUUCGGGUUGUAAAGCACUUUUGUCCGGAAAGAAAUGGCUCUGGUUAAUACCUGGGGUCGAUGACGGUACCGGAAGAAUAAGGACCGGCUAACUACGUGCCAGCAGCCGCGGUAAUACGUAGGGUCCAAGCGUUAAUCGGAAUUACUGGGCGUAAAGCGUGCGCAGGCGGUUGUGCAAGACCGAUGUGAAAUCCCCGAGCUUAACUUGGGAAUUGCAUUGGUGACUGCACGGCUAGAGUGUGUCAGAGGGGGGUUAGAAUUCCACGUGUAGCAGUGAAANUGCGUAGAGAUGUGGAGGAAUACCGAUGGCGAAGGCAGCCCCCUGGGAUAACACUGACGCUCAUGCACGAAAGGUGGGGAGCAAACAGGAUUAGAUACCCUGGUAGUCCACGCCCUAAACGAUGUCAACUAGUUGUUGGGGAUUCAUUUCCUUAGUAACGUAGCUAACGCGUGAAG
This 517-nucleotide ribosomal RNA is filed under the name uncultured bacterium. RNAcentral's name for it is "partial 16S ribosomal RNA". It matches the Rfam family "Bacterial small subunit ribosomal RNA", at positions 355 to 864 of the family's 1533-position model. The record is from RNAcentral.